Long non-coding RNA from Octopus bimaculoides (California two-spot octopus), 3765 nucleotides. The record is from RefSeq and is a predicted model, not a curated record. Lineage: Eukaryota; Metazoa; Mollusca; Cephalopoda; Octopoda; Octopodidae.
AUUUCAGAUGAUGAUAAUUCUUGGUGCGAUUGUGGCAGCCAUUGUCACUGUAAUCAUUGUCUGGGUGUUCGCAUAAAUACUUUGCGAUGUUCUGGGUAGCCAACAAAUAUGGCUAAUGUUUGGCAAGUGAAUGAAAAUAAGUGAAGCAUCUGGCUCCAGCAGCAGGACUCUUUUGACCAAAGCAACAUAUUUAGUGUAGAUUUGUAGGGAGUGGGGGGAAGGGUGGGUCAGAUGGUUGGAUGAAUGUUUUUUUUGUCAAGGCUGGACGUAGUAAGGGUGGGUGUAUACUCUGUACACAUUUGUGGGCUUUAUAUAUUUGUUCUGCUCUUCAAUGUGUGUAUGUAUGUGUGGGUGUUAGCUUGUGUAUGUAUUGUGUAUAUGUUAAUGUGUAUGAAUUUUGUAGAGAUGUAUACUUAUGUUUAUACUCUCAGAAGUAUUACUAAUAUAAUAAUUAUGGAUAUGUUAAUGUAAUUUGCAAUUGUUAUCUGAGAUCUCCCUGCCCCUCCCCUUCUGUGAAUGUUUUAGGAACUCUAUGGUGUAUCUAUGUUGCUGCAUGUGUCGUCUUUCCAUUAUUUCUCUCAUCAUUUUGUUUUCUCUCACACUUCUGUGCAUUAUCUGCAUGUAUGCCUGCAUUCCUUCUCCUUGCUCUCCAGAUACCUAUCCUCUCCUAAUACCUUACAUUUCUCUGGCACAACCAUGCUAUGCCCACUCACAACAUAGUAAAGAGAAGCCACUAAGCUGGCUUUUAAUGUAUUUAAUUAUAGUUUGUGAAAAUUUGUAUAAAUAAAAUUGUAAAAAAAACAUAAAAUAAACAAAAUAAAUAAAAUAAAUAAUUUAUGUAUAAAAUAAAAUCCACUUAAAAAUGGUGUGUUAGUUAUAAUAUCACCAUUAAAAAAUAUAUAUUGAAUAUUUCAUUUGGUUAGUAUAUGAUCUAUCACAGCAAUUUGUAAACACUGCUGGUGUAUGUGGUUGAAAUGGGGUUAUUUUUCCAUAUUAGUCAUAUAACUGAAAUUAUUUUAGCCAAUUCUUUUCUGAUAGCUUAAGAAAUAACUUAGAUAUCUAUUGGCUCAUGUAUUUAAAUCAAUGAUGAAUGUGCUGUCAUAAACCUGGACACUAACAUUAUUUAUUUCCACAUAAAUAUUGUUUUAUAGUGCUGCUAUUGCCAUUAAUUUAUUUUCUAAAUUAAUUUUCCCUUCAUGUAAAUAGUUUCUGUAAAGUCAAUUUUUCCCUCUCCUCCCCUUAUUCAUUCCCCUCCCCCCUUUUAUUUUUGUCCUUACCUGUUUUUGGCAGUUGCAAUUAUUCUUCAGUGUAAUUAGAUAUUUACACAAGUAUGGCUCAAAAUACUUGUUCAUGAUGUACAACACAAUCUUAAAAUAGUAUUCUCUUACUUUGAUGAUGAAAUAAGAGAUUAUUAUUAUUAUUAUUAUUAUUAUUAUUCAAAGUAAACUCUUUAAAUUAGUGUAUGGUGGAUUUCCUAGCAGCUUCCAUACCUCUUAAUUUAAUAAAAUUGUGGUUAAAAAUUAAAAACGUAAAAAAAUCCUGAACUAUUAAGAUAUACUUUAUAGGCUGUUUGAAAAUAAAAUUUUGAAUGAAAUCUCUCUUCAAUUAUUUUUUAUUUGUUUAAAUUGUUUCAAAUUCCUAACUGUAGCUUGUGUCAAUGCUUCAUGAUGCAAUCUGAAUCUCGAAAAAAAAAAAAAGAAAAAAAAACCCAAAACCACCAAUGAUUCCCCCUUCCCUUUGUAUAUCUGUAUAUGAAUGUGAGGAAGACCUACUGGCAGCACUUGGUUGGUGUUUUUGUUUAGUCUACUUACACAAACCAACUUACCUGUCUUGUUAUGAAAGAAAAGUACACUCUUUUAGGAGCCUUGGAUUAUUUAUUUGUAUUUAUCAAUUAACUUCUGUUAAUUAUCCUCUCUGACUUCCUUUUUAAUGUUUAACUCUAUAAGCUGCUGAAAUGGGAACCAGAUCUACUCAGUACACCAGUUGAUGGUGUGAGAUGUGUACAGCUCUCAGCCGAAAUCUGGUGCAGAUUAAAUUCAUCAAGCAAUUCACUACCUUUAUGAAAAUUUUAAAAAAUAAUAAAAAAGAAAAAAAAAAUAUUGGAGAAAAACAAAUGGGCUCUGUAUCUUUUAUAUAAAAGAUAAUCAGUUUCCAAAUCUAUUUAGCUCUUAUAGAUUACUGAUGAGAGAGAGAGCGAGAGAGAGAAAGAGAGAGAGAGCAACAAAAAAAAAAACCCAAACCAUCUAAUGAAGCCUUUAAAUGCUUCCUUUUCACUUUCAUACAUGUUAAGUAUUUCUUAAUAAGUCAACACUGCUUGAGGAGAUAGUGAGAAAAGACCUAUCAGCCAAGAUGGUUGCUUAAUGCCUAAUACAGCAGGAAAGCUAUAUUCACACUUCCUCUUCAUUUAAUCUAUCUUUCUCUGUUCCUUUUUAUUAUAACAGAGCCUUUCUUUGUUUCCCUUUUUCCAAAAGAAAGUUUAAUUUCCCUUUUAUCAUUUUGGCUGUUGCCCAGAAAUCUCACAGAUAUUACACAAAUCUCUCCCUCCAAAUAAGCAGCAAAAUCAAUUUGAAAUCUCUUAUCUGAUUUUCAUUUUAUCCUUUAUUAUUUUUUUUUUUAUUCAUCUGUAUAUUUCACUUCUGGGUUGUUUAUUUUUUUUUUUUUUCUUCAAUUCUCAACAAAAUAAAACUUGAAAUCAAAAAUAUGCCGCUGUAAUAAAUAUUCAAGUCUUGUUUUGUAUGAGAAAAUUACCAGAAAAAAAAAUAAAAUAAAAAAUCCUUUAUGUUUAUAUAUAUAUAUAUAAUAUAUAUAUAUUUUUCUUGUUGUUCUCCAACAUUUUUCCGAGUUAGGAUUGUUGGUUGUCACUAAUUUUGAAAUGGGUCUUUUAAAUAACUUCAUUCCAAGUCAGUAGCCCUCUGUUUAUUUGAAAGAUUCCAUUAAUAUUGUUAUCUAAUUCAUAGCAUUAACAUUUUGUUUUGACUAUUUAUCCUAAUGUUCACUUAUAUAAGCUUAUUUCUCCUCCUUUAAUCUCAUUUUAAUUUUUUCCUCUCUUUUUAUUGUUUGGGCCUUAUACAGUGUAUGAUGGAUGUUGUCUGUAUUCAUUUAGAGGUCCCUUGGAAAACAGUGUAAAUUUGGGAGAAUUAUUUUAAAGGUUAAAGUUACACUAAUGAAUGGGAAGCCCGUCACUGAAAUUGAUUGUUGUCAUGACCUUUUUCUACUGCCCUUAUAUUGGCAAAAUUAGAUUAUUAUAUUAUUAUUCAUGUGUGUGUAUGAGUGUGUGAGUGCUUGUGUGUGUCUGUAUAAAUAUAUACAUAUAUGUACAUACAUAUAUAAAUAAACAUUUAGAUAUCCUUAGUAAAUUAAUACCAGUUCUGUGUGUGCGUGUGUGUGUGUACAUAUGUAUAUGGUGAUUAUUAUUACUGUUAAGGACAAUGGCAGUCCUGCUACUGUAUUUCUAAAUACAAUUGUUGAGUGAGUUUGACCAAAUAUGGACAAUAUAGCCUGUCUCCUUAAUAGCCAGACGAACACACUCAUUACACUCACUGAUACACACAUUCUCUCAUACAACUCAAUGCAGAUGGACACGUCCCUUGCUUGAAAAAGUUUGACUUUUAUGGGGUUUUGUUUUUCCAUUUUAGUUGUUUUUAAGUUAUUUUCCCUUCCAACUAUUUCAGUGGGGGCACCCCUGUUAUGAUGCACAAGUUAACUUGUUAUCUUAGACUUAUGACUUGUAGUUGUUCAUGAAUAAAAAGAAAUGUAAUAAAAGUU